CCUACGGGAGGCAGCAGUGGGGAAUAUUGCGCAAUGGGCGAAAGCCUGACGCAGCGACGCCGCGUGAGGGAUGAAGGUCUUCGGAUCGUAAACCUCUGUCAGCAGGGAAGAACGGUCACUGUGCUAAUCAGCAGUGAAUUGACGGUACCUGCAAAGGAAGCACCGGCUAACUCCGUGCCAGCAGCCGCGGUAAUACGGAGGGUGCGAGCGUUAAUCGGAAUUACUGGGCGUAAAGCGGUCGUAGGCGGUAUGUCAAGUCAAGGGUGAAAUCCCCGCGCUCAACGUGGGAACUGCCUUUGAAACUGGCAAACUGGGGUGUGUGAGAGGAUAGUGGAAUUCCAGGUGUAGGAGUGAAAUCCGUAGAUAUCUGGAGGAACAUCAGUGGCGAAGGCGACUAUCUGGCACAUAACUGACGCUGAGGAGCGAAAGCGUGGGUAGCAAACAGGAUUAGAUACCCGUGUAGU
RNAcentral lists this ribosomal RNA (464 nucleotides) under uncultured bacterium. RNAcentral's name for it is "partial 16S ribosomal RNA". It matches the Rfam family "Bacterial small subunit ribosomal RNA", at positions 338 to 794 of the family's 1533-position model. The record is from RNAcentral.